AAAAAAAAAGCGGAAGUCGCGCAUGUUCGGGAGCGGAAAAAAAGGUAAAAAGUCGGUUGAAAAUCCUUUUCGUGUGGAAAAAGUCGCAGUUUGUUGUCCAUAGCAUUCAAGAAAUCCCCGAACGCGAACCUGUCUGGAAAGAACUGAGUUCUAGUGUCGAAGUUAACAGUGGCGUAAAAGCAACAGGUGAAAAGUAUUUUCUGUUACAUAAAUGAGUUUCAACAUGAGGUGAGCAAAUGGAUGUAACAAAGCAAGAAUAUAAGGUAGGUUUUUAUUUAUAUCAUUUAUUCAUAAAUGUCAGAUUGCUUAUUUGUCUUUAUCAUAAUACUGGGUAAAUUAUUCAAUUUUUCAAGUACAAAUAACAUAAAAUCAACAAAAUCCUUCAUUAACAGUUUAAUUGAUACAAAUACUAUGUCAAUGUUUCAAAAGAAAAACUUUACAGGCAAGGGUAAGAAUAGCUAGUGAACCAAAACAGUAUGUUUUUCAAGGACCCCCCACCCCCUUUUUAACUCAAUUCCCUAUAAUUUACCUCAGAAAUUUUCUGUUGGAUGCCACAAGUGUUUAUUAAGUUUUAUUAGCAUAUAAAAACUUGGUGUUUUGCAUAUCCAAAAGUCAAAAAAUAAGAAAAAAAAAAAAAAAAAAGGAAAGGAAGGAUGAAGGGGGGGGGGAUCAAAUAAGAGGGAAUCUGUUAAACAUAGACGAUUCUUAGCUCUUAGAGGUGAAAACCACCAAUCAACAAAAGGGCAAACACUUAAAAAUUUCACAAAUUUGAAAAAUUCCUCCCACCCUCCAAAAUUCCCAGAUUUCAGAGAAAAUAUCUUUUUAAAAGUUAAACCUACUGGAUGUCAUGGAACCAGUGGCAGAACUUUCAGCAGGGAGGCUAAACCUCUUAGAUUUUAGUAUCAUACUGUUUUCAAGCAUAUACAAAGUUUUACCACAAUUCAAAAUCAAAAAUGGAAAGAAAAGGAGUAAAUUUUGAAAAUUUCAGAAAAGGAGAAAUUUGUUGAACAGUAGAAAAGUCUCACCCUUCUGUGUACAAAUUUAUAUUUCUGCGGAAAUAAACAAAAGAGGAUUUAAUACGUGAUGAUUUGAAUAAAACAAGUAAAAGAAACUGAAAUGCAAUUCACUGAAUUUAAAAUGAUUCUAGAUAAUUUUUGUAAUGAAUAUUAUCUCUUUUACACUUAUAUUUCUUUUGAGGUUCUUAAUAAUUUUAUUUGUUGUGUAGAACACCAAGUUUUUCACCAUUUUUUUUUCUUUCAAAAGACUUCUUUUUUUUUUUUAAUGAUAAGCAAUGCCUUAAAAAAACUCCAUUGCAGCCUAAAAUUGUUUAGCAUCAUUCUCUGCAAUUAUACUUGGUAAUGAAUAAUUGCAAGUAUACAGAAAAAGAAAAAACAAAAACUAUAAAAUUUCUUAUGACUUUUUAUUGAAAUAUAAGCAUGAAAUAAAUUAAGAUAUAUUUGCGCAUUACAAGAACAAAUUUCAAACAUCAAUGCUUUCAUUUACAGUGCAUGUGCAAGGGGGAAAAACUUUUAUUUUUCCUUUUUACAAAAUUACAAGUAAAAAUGCCUGUUCAUGCAAAUGGGAAUCACAUGUUCUACUGCAUCUCAAAAACUGCACAACCUUGUAACUUAAGUUACUCAACAGAUUUCACUUCAUCUCCCUCAAUUCUAACUUUUAAAUUUCUUUGAAAAACGAAGAUGCAAUAGGCCUGUAUAAAAUCAAAUAAAAAAAAUUACUUAGUCAAUAGAUAAAUAAAAAAACGAUAUAUUUUUUUAUAAUAUUUUGAAAAUAAUUUACUUAUUAUUUACAAUUUAAUUUACAAUACAACUAAUCAGUAUUAUAUAAAUACUCCAACUGAAAGUGUUCUUUAAAAAUUGAAUAAAAACAGGUUAAAAUAUCUUAAACUAAGAUUUUUUUUAUGUACAAACCCUGUAGAUGAUUGGAAUAGAGAAAAUAAAAAACUCAUGAUGUAUUUUUAAAACUGACAAUAUAUUAUCUCUACAUAACCAUUUAACAUAGAAUAUCUUAUUAAACCAAAAAUACGAUAAAUGUUUAAUUUAUAUACCUUGUUUCACUUUAAAUUGCUAGUAGCAUUUAAGACAAUUAAAAUAAAUAAAUAUUGAAAAUAAACAAAGUUGCGACAAUUUUCCCACGGAAGAUUUUUUAAACCAUCAUAUAAAUAUAACCUUUUCACUGUAAUAAUAUAUAUAAUUGUUUAUAAGGUAAAAUUUGGCAUU
This is a long non-coding RNA of Uloborus diversus, 2237 nucleotides long. RefSeq lists it as uncharacterized. NCBI's taxonomy places the organism in Eukaryota, Metazoa, Arthropoda, Arachnida, Araneae, Uloboridae. The record is from RefSeq and is a predicted model, not a curated record. The transcript has 3 exons.